AUGCUUCUAGCCGUGCAACAUCAUCGAAUGGGUUAUGACAUUUGCGCUGAGAUGGAGUGGUGGCGAUACUUCACCGUCACGCUAUUUCAGGUGAACGUGCAUGGUGGGGAUCUCAUUCCGGUGAACAGCCUUGGUGAUGAGGCCUUGUUCCUAGGGAAAGACCGCUGCCUGUCGAUCUCCACCAUGAACCUCCCUUGCAUCAGCGGCAACUCUGUUUACUCAUAUGUAUCAAACAAGGAUCCCGUUGUGUUGCAUUCUCUAGGCAGUGGUUCUUCUGAGCACACAACAAUGUACACAAAGGUGCAUUAUUCGAAUAAGAUGGUUCGUCCAUCCGUGCGGCCUUUCACGCUUCCAGAUCAUCUUAUGACAUAUUGUCAUAAUCUUCAAUGGACAAGGGGCCUGAUGCUUCAUGAAUAUGCUGCCAUUCCUUCAUAUCUGAGUGAUCUGCGAGAGAAAAUACACGCACACGAAUCUGAUAUCAGGUUCCCGUAUUUAGGGGGCUUUGGCAAAAAGGCUCGUAAGACCAAGCGUGUGCGUGCUGUUGUGAAGAAGAACCAGCGCCUCUGUGCUUAG
This 573-nucleotide ribosomal RNA is filed under the name Triticum aestivum (bread wheat). Its description in RNAcentral is "partial small subunit ribosomal RNA". Lineage: Eukaryota; Viridiplantae; Streptophyta; Magnoliopsida; Poales; Poaceae. The record is from RNAcentral.